ACUUUCUCCAACAACAGCCACACAUAAGCCCCCUUUCUCUCUUCCUUCUUUCUCUACCAUCUUCUCCCCCCUCUUUCUAAACUCAACACCAUCACCCUCUCUGGCCACCGGCCAUCCAGAGCUCCGGCAGCCACAUCCCCUCUUUUUUCUCUCUCUAUCUCCAGCUCUCUCUCUUGAGACCACCAGUCAGCUACCUCUCCCCCCUCCGGAUGAACCAGCCUCCACGCCACCAGCCAUCAUGUCAAUGACGCCGCCAUACCAUUCGUCUCAUGCCGGUAAUCUAACUCACCGACGCGUAACAACUUCUGCUCCACCACCCCCUCCCUCCGUCACCUCAAUACUGUAAAUCGCCACCUCACUCGCCGGAAAAUUGAUAAGUGCACGGAGGAUUCAUGUAUGUGAAUCCGUCCAAGGUCAGGAUUAGUUGAAGAGUCGCCGGGACGUUAAACAUAAUAUGUUAUUCCUUAUGGCUGCUAUUUUUCCUUUCUUAUUUUUGUAUUAUUUGAUUUGUAACAUUAUUGUAAAGAUAUUAUAUUAUUGUAAUAAUAAUUUUGGGGACUGCUCGGGGUCGGGGAUUUACGUGCUCUAUGAACAAUAUAGGUUGGCACAGCUUAGGAUUAUGUGUGGUAUGUGUUAUGUGGAUCGUCUAGCGAUCUAUUAACACAUGAAUCAUUUAGACACUUUUAUUAAUUAAUUCGCUUAGAAAUCUUGCUUUAAAGUUUUUUUAUUUACGCUCGACGCAUUAAAUUAAGUCUAAGCAUGCUAAUACCCUUUUAACAUACUCACAUCCGUUUUAAGCAUGGUAAUAUUUUUUGUGUUAGCCUACUACAUUCAUUUUUUGCAUGUUAAAAUAUCAUUGCAUAUUUCGAUGUGUCCACACAAUUUAGGCAUAUGUAAACGAUAUUUGGGCAUGUUAAUAUGGUGAGCAUGUCAAUAACUGAUUUUGCACGUUAAUACACUUUUAGCAUGUUAAAACUACUCUCAGCAUGUUAAUAUAAAUUCCUGCAUGUUAAUUUUGUUUUUGUGUUAAAAGCAUUUCAGCUCGUUAAUAUGGGAAUUUUAAUCGGCAGCAUGUAAAAAUUAAUUUUCAGCAUGUCACAAUUAGAUUCUAGCAUGUCAAAAUGGCACUUCUGCGUGAAACAAUUAUAGUACAGCAUGUUAAAAUACUAAUUUUCUACAUUUUCAGAAUGUUAAAGUACUUGAUUUUAGGCUUCUUUAGCAUGUUACUGCAUUUUUCAUUCCUGCACUAAUAACAUAAUUUUCAGCAUGUUAAAAUAUCAAAUUUUAAGCAUUUCAGCAUGUUAAUUUGUAGAUCAAGAAUGUCAUUUUUUAACAUAUUAAGGCAAUUUCAACUUGUUAGUAUGAAAUUUCUGCACUGUGUGCAUAGUUUUCGGCGUGUUAAAAUGUUAGAUGGCAUUCUCAAUAUGUUAAACACUAGGUUAAGUACACCAUUAUGUUUCUUAGCAUGUUAAUGCAUUUUUAAUAUUUUUGUUAGUUUCUUAUAUUCUCAUAUUGUGAGUACAAUUUCUUGACACAUUUACCACACUUUUGUCACACUAGCAAUUGUUGAACACUUAGAUAUCAUGCCUAUAGGUUAAUGACAUCAAAAUAAAUAAUUAUUUUUCUUUGUAUGUCAAUCACAUUAAUAAACGUUAAUUAAUCAAAAGGCUAACUUGGGACAAUUAUGUGUUACGUGAUGUCCUACUUGUUACGUACUUUGAGUCCUAGGCAACAUAGUUUAAUUUCAUCUAGACCACCAAAUCAAAAUAGCAAAGUCUAAUGCCUCUUGGAUGAUAGGUGGGACGAUAAAUAUUAUUAAGGACGGUAGUUUUAUCCUUGUCGUAGAACGCCUUUAGACUUAACAACCAGACUAAGUGGGGUGGGGUGGGGUGGGUAGUCAUUUGGAAGUGAUGAUCCCAACAAAUAUUGACAGUAAGACUAAUGACAUUGUCAUUUGUUUAAGAGUUCGGCAUGUGGAUCGGAUGAUAUGCUUAAACAAGUUGGGAUUCUGAUCCGAGUGAGACCAAACCUUUCUUCGUUUGGUUUGAUGAAUUCUUUUAUACUUUUUUAUUUACUUUAUAUGUUUAUUUAUUUGGGGUAGUUAGUUUAUUAUAGAAGCAGUCCCCUUUGC
Capsicum annuum is the source of this 2131-nucleotide long non-coding RNA. RefSeq lists it as uncharacterized. NCBI's taxonomy places the organism in Eukaryota, Viridiplantae, Streptophyta, Magnoliopsida, Solanales, Solanaceae. The record is from RefSeq and is a predicted model, not a curated record. The transcript has 2 exons.